AAACCUCCUGCUCGUACACGUGGACACCUACCCUCCGGACGGGUAUAAACCCGGGAAACUGGGUAUAAUCCCCGAUAGAUCUCGGUCGCUGGAAAGCUCCGAGGUCGAAAGCUCCGGCGCCAGAGGAUGGGUCUGCGGCCUAUCAGGUAGUAGUGGGUGUAGCGUACCUACUAGCCUACGACGGGUACGGGUUGUGAGAGCAAGAGCCCGGAGAUGGAUUCUGAGACACGAAUCCAGGCCCUACGGGGUGCAGCAGGCGCGAAAACUUUACAAUGCCGGCAACGGCGAUAAGGGGACCUCGAGUGCCAGGUUACAAAUCUGGCUGUCGUGAUGCCUAAAAAGCAUUGCAUAGCAAGGGCCGGGCAAGACCGGUGCCAGCCGCCGCGGUAACACCGGCGGCUCGAGUGGUAACCGUUAUUAUUGGGUCUAAAGGGUCUGUAGCCGGCCGGAUAAGUCUCUUGAGAAAUCCAGCAGCUCAACUGUUGGGCUUUCAGGAGAUACUGUCUGGCUCGAGGCCGGGAGAGGUGAGAGGUACUUCAGGGGUAGGGGUGAAAUCUUGUAAUCCUUGAAGGACCACCAGUGGCGAAGGCGUCUCACCAGAACGGACCUGACGGCAAGGGACGAAAGCUAGGGGCACGAACCGGAUUAGAUACCCGGGUAGUCCUAGCCGUAAACGAUACUCGCUAGGUGUCGGCCACGGUGCGACCGUUGUCGGUGCCGUAGGGAAGCCGUGAAGCGAGCCACCUGGGGAAGUACGGCCGCAAGGCUGAAACUUAAAGGAAUUGGCGGGGGAGCACCACAACGGGUGGAGCUUGCGGUUUAAUUGGAUUCAACGCCGGAAAAUCUUACCGGGACCGACAGCAAUAUGAAGGCCAGGCUGAAGACUUUGCCGGAUUAACUGAGAGGUGUUGCAUGGCCGUCGUCCAGUUCGUACUGUGAAGCAUCUUGUUAAGUCAGGCAACGAAUCUAGACUCGAUUAU
Molecule: ribosomal RNA, 980 nt
Filed under: uncultured Methanomicrobiales archaeon
Lineage: Archaea; Methanobacteriati; Methanobacteriota; Methanomicrobia; Methanomicrobiales
Description: bacterial SSU rRNA
Rfam family: Archaeal small subunit ribosomal RNA
Source: RNAcentral